GACGAACGCUGGCGGCGUGCUUAGCACAUGCAAGUCGAACGAAAAGAGGGAAAGAGCUUGCUCUUUCCGGAAUUGAGUGGCAAACGGGUGAGUAACACGUAAACAACCUGCCUUCAGGAUGGGGACAACAGACGGAAACGACUGCUAAUACCGAAUAAGUUCCAAGAGCCGCAUGGCCCAUGGAAGAAAAGGUGGCCUCUACCUGUAAGCUAUCGCCUGAAGAGGGGUUUGCGUCUGAUUAGCUGGUUGGAGGGGUAACGGCCCACCAAGGCGACGAUCAGUAGCCGGUCUGAGAGGAUGAACGGCCACACUGGAACUGAGACACGGUCCAGACUCCUACGGGAGGCAGCAGUGGGGAAUCUUCCGCAAUGGGCGAAAGCCUGACGGAGCAACGCCGCGUGAGUGAUGACGGCCUUCGGGUUGUAAAACUCUGUGAUCCGGGACGAAAAGGCAGAGUGCGAAGAACAAACUGCAUUGACGGUACCGGAAAAGCAAGCCACGGCUAACUACGUG
RNAcentral lists this ribosomal RNA (513 nucleotides) under uncultured bacterium. Its description in RNAcentral is "partial 16S ribosomal RNA". It matches the Rfam family "Bacterial small subunit ribosomal RNA", at positions 28 to 507 of the family's 1533-position model. The record is from RNAcentral.